UACGGAGGGGGCUAGCGUUGUUCGGAUUUACUGGGCGUAAAGGGCGCGUAGGCGGCCUGUGCAAGUCAGUUGUGAAAUCUCCGAGCUUAACUCGGAACGGUCAACUGAUACUGCUCGGCUAGAGUGCGGAAGGGGCAACUGGAAUUCUUGGUGUAGCGGUGAAAUGCGUAGAUAUCAAGAGGAACACCUGCGGCGAAGGCGGGUUGCUGGGCCGACACUGACGCUGAUGCGCGAAAGCUAGGGGAGCGAACGGG
This 254-nucleotide ribosomal RNA is filed under the name uncultured bacterium. RNAcentral describes it as "partial 16S ribosomal RNA". It matches the Rfam family "Bacterial small subunit ribosomal RNA", at positions 524 to 776 of the family's 1533-position model. The record is from RNAcentral.